Molecule: ribosomal RNA, 393 nt
Filed under: uncultured bacterium
Lineage: Bacteria
Description: bacterial SSU rRNA
Rfam family: Bacterial small subunit ribosomal RNA
Source: RNAcentral
UAAUACGGAGGGUGCAAGCGUUAUCCGGAAUCACUGGGCGUAAAGGGCGCGUAGGCGGUCUGUUAAGUCCGAUGUUAAAUCCCGGGGCUCAACCCCGGAUAAGCGUUGGAUACUGGCAGGCUAGACGGUUGGAGAGGCGAGUGGAAUUACCAGUGUAGCGGUGGAAUGCGUAGAUACUGGUAGGAACACCCAUUGCGAAGGCAGCUCGCUGGACAACACGUGACGCUGAGGCGCGAAAGUGUGGGGAGCAAACCGGAUUAGAUACCCGGGUAGUCCACACCCUAAACGAUGCAUACUUGGUGUCGGCCCGUUGGGGUCGGCGCCGGAGCUAACGCGUUAAGUAUGCCGCCUGGGAAGUACGGCCGCAAGGUUGAAACUCAAAUGAAUUGACGG